This 482-nucleotide ribosomal RNA is filed under the name uncultured bacterium. Its description in RNAcentral is "bacterial SSU rRNA". It matches the Rfam family "Bacterial small subunit ribosomal RNA", at positions 39 to 518 of the family's 1533-position model. The record is from RNAcentral.
UGCGGCAUGCUUAACACAUGCAAGUCGAACGGGCGUAUUUGGGUAUAGCGAUAUACUCGGGAUGCGUUUAGUGGCGAACGGGUGAGUAACGCGUGAGCAACCUGCCGUAUACACCGGGAUAACAGACCGAAAGGACUGCUAAUACCGGAUAAGACCACAGUAGGGCAUCCUACAGGGGUCAAAGUGAUUUAGCGGUAUACGAUGGGCUCGCGUCCUAUUAGGUAGUUGGUGAGAUAACAGCCCACCAAGCCGAUGAUAGGUAGCCGACUUGAGAGAGUGAUCGGCCACAAUGGAACUGAGACACGGUCCAUACUCCUACGGGAGGCAGCAGUGGGGAAUAUUGGGCAAUGGGCGAAAGCCUUACCCAGACCAAUGCCGCGUGAAUGAUGAAGGUCUUCGGAUUGUAAAUUUCUUUUAUUGGUGACGAACAAAAUGACGGUAGCCGAUGAAUAAGCCCCGGCUAACUACGUGCCAGCCGCUGC